CCCGGGCGACCGGCGCACGGGUGAGUAACACGUAUGAAACCUGCCCGUAGCAGGGGGAUAAGCGGAAGAAAUUCCGUCUAAUACCGCGUAACAACCCAUGGAGGCAUCUCUGUGGGUUUAAAGGAAGCGAUUCCGGCUACGGAUGGUCAUGCGUCGCAUUAGCUAGUUGGCGGGGUAACGGCCCACCAAGGCGACGAUGCGUAGGGGUUCUGAGAGGAAGGUCCCCCACACUGGUACUGAGACACGGACCAGACUCCUACGGAAGGCAGCAG
RNAcentral lists this ribosomal RNA (272 nucleotides) under uncultured bacterium. RNAcentral describes it as "partial 16S ribosomal RNA". It matches the Rfam family "Bacterial small subunit ribosomal RNA", at positions 86 to 354 of the family's 1533-position model. The record is from RNAcentral.